AGUGCAGAGAGCGAGGGGAUAAAAGGAGGCUGUGUCUCUCCCUCGCCCUCUCACUUCCUGGCUCGAAGGCCCUCCCACUUCCUGGCCUUUCACUUCAUCCUGUACUCUCCAUGCGGUGGUCCAUGGUGGCUAAGAUGAUUGUGAUGAGCUCCAUUGUUUUGCCAUAAGCAAGUAAAGCACUCAGCGGAUCCUGAACACAUCACUGGCGAAACACAGAUGCUCCAGUUAGGUGCAGAGCCUCGUCGUCUUUCUCCUCACUGGGAGGACGCUUCCUGAUCGGGACCUGUGGCUGAACUCUGGACAUCGCUGAGAGCCAACGGUGGUGGCAGUGUUGUGUGAUCCUGGAUUUUGGUUUUCUUUGCACUUCAGUUUUUUGCUGUAUGCCACGUACGAGUGGGGUGCUCCUUAUUUAAUUUGGACUUCCUUCCCCCAGUUUUCCCCUCACUGCUGGCAAGCCUCAGCACUGGAGCAGAGUGUUAGCACUUUAGUUCUCUUUUAAGUCAUUUUUAACAUAUUGUGACCAACUAAAUAAAUUUGUUAAAUAUUUGUUAAACAUUGAA
Molecule: long non-coding RNA, 560 nt
Organism: Thunnus maccoyii (southern bluefin tuna)
Lineage: Eukaryota; Metazoa; Chordata; Actinopteri; Scombriformes; Scombridae
Exons: 4
Source: RefSeq, a predicted model, not a curated record